GACGAACGCUGGCGGCGUGCUUAACACAUGCAAGUCGAACGGAAAGGCCCUGCUUUUGUGGGGUGCUCGAGUGGCGAACGGGUGAGUAACACGUGAGUAACCUGCCCUUGACUUUGGGAUAACUUCAGGAAACUGGGGCUAAUACCGGAUAGGAGCUCCUGCUGCAUGGUGGGGGUUGGAAAGUUUCGGCGGUUGGGGAUGGACUCGCGGCUUAUCAGCUUGUUGGUGGGGUAGUGGCUUACCAAGGCUUUGACGGGUAGCCGGCCUGAGAGGGUGACCGGCCACAUUGGGACUGAGAUACGGCCCAGAUUCCUACGGGAGGCAGCAGUGGGGAAUAUUGCACAAUGGGCGGAAGCCUGAUGCAGCAACGCCGCGUGCGGGAUGACGGCCUUCGGGUUGUAAACCGCUUUCGCCUGCGACGAAGCGUGAGUGACGGUAAUGGGUAAAGAAGCACCGGCUAACUACGUG
This 468-nucleotide ribosomal RNA is filed under the name uncultured bacterium. RNAcentral describes it as "partial 16S ribosomal RNA". It matches the Rfam family "Bacterial small subunit ribosomal RNA", at positions 28 to 507 of the family's 1533-position model. The record is from RNAcentral.